UGGGGAAUAUUGGACAAUGGGCGAAAGCCUGAUCCAGCCAUGCCGCGUGUGUGAAGAAGGUCUUCGGAUUGUAAAGCACUUUAAGUUGGGAGGAAGGGCAGUAAGCGAAUACCUUGCUGUUUUGACGUUACCGACAGAAUAAGCACCGGCUAACUCUGUGCCAGCAGCCGCGGUAAUACAGAGGGUGCAAGCGUUAAUCGGAAUUACUGGGCGUAAAGCGCGCGUAGGUGGUUCGUUAAGUUGAAUGUGAAAGCCCCGGGCUCAACCUGGGAUCUGCAUCCAAAACUGGCGGGCUAGAGUAGGGCAGAGGGUGGUGGAAUUUCCUGUGUAGCGGUGAAAUGCGUAGAUAUAGGAAGGAACACCAGUGGCGAAGGCGACCACCUGGGCUCAUACUGACACUGAGGUGCGAAAGCGUGGGGAGCAAACAGG
Molecule: ribosomal RNA, 429 nt
Filed under: Pseudomonadota bacterium
Lineage: Bacteria; Pseudomonadati; Pseudomonadota
Description: Proteobacteria bacterium partial 16S ribosomal RNA
Rfam family: Bacterial small subunit ribosomal RNA
Source: RNAcentral